UUAACCUCAAUUUUUAUGGAGUUGGAACGUUUAGUACGUUUGCCGCUAGGGGCGCUGUUCCAACUGCAUACAAAGUUGACUUA
This 83-nucleotide microRNA precursor is filed under the name Bombyx mori (domestic silkworm). Its description in RNAcentral is "mir-2807 microRNA precursor family". It matches the Rfam family "mir-2807 microRNA precursor family". Lineage: Eukaryota; Metazoa; Arthropoda; Insecta; Lepidoptera; Bombycidae. The record is from Rfam by way of RNAcentral.